This 77-nucleotide transfer RNA is filed under the name Acidimicrobium sp. RNAcentral's name for it is "tRNA-Cys". The stretch from base 8 to 71 matches the Rfam family "tRNA". Rfam says of the family: Transfer RNA (tRNA) molecules are approximately 80 nucleotides in length. Their secondary structure includes four short double-helical elements and three loops (D, anti-codon, and T loops). Lineage: Bacteria; Bacillati; Actinomycetota; Acidimicrobiia; Acidimicrobiales; Acidimicrobiaceae. The record is from RNAcentral.
UGCGACUGAUGGCCGACUGGCUUAGGCACGGGCCUGCAAAGCCCUUUAACUGAGUUCGAUUCUCGGCGUCGCCUCCA